RNAcentral lists this transfer RNA (73 nucleotides) under Camelus ferus (Wild Bactrian camel). It matches the Rfam family "tRNA". Rfam says of the family: Transfer RNA (tRNA) molecules are approximately 80 nucleotides in length. Their secondary structure includes four short double-helical elements and three loops (D, anti-codon, and T loops). Further hydrogen bonds mediate the characteristic L-shaped molecular structure. tRNAs have two regions of fundamental functional importance: the anti-codon, which is responsible for specific mRNA codon recognition, and the 3' end, to which the tRNAs corresponding amino acid is attached (by aminoacyl-tRNA synthetases). tRNAs cope with the degeneracy of the genetic code in two manners: having more than one tRNA (with a specific anti-codon) for a particular amino acid; and 'wobble' base-pairing, i.e. permitting non-standard base-pairing at the 3rd anti-codon position. Lineage: Eukaryota; Metazoa; Chordata; Mammalia; Artiodactyla; Camelidae. The record is from Rfam by way of RNAcentral.
GAGGGUAUAGCUCAGUGGUAGAGUGCAUGCUUAGCAAUGCACGAGGUCUGGGGUUCAAUCCACAGUACCACCA